This 119-nucleotide ribosomal RNA is filed under the name Nicotiana sylvestris (wood tobacco). Lineage: Eukaryota; Viridiplantae; Streptophyta; Magnoliopsida; Solanales; Solanaceae. The record is from RNAcentral.
AGAUGGGAUCAUACCAGCACUAACGCACCGGAUUCCAUCAGAACUCCAAAGUUAAGCAUGCUUGGGCCAGAGUAGUACUAGGAUGGGUCAACCCUUGGGAAGUCCUCAUGUUGCAUCCC